RNAcentral lists this long non-coding RNA (6563 nucleotides) under Olea europaea subsp. europaea. The record is from RNAcentral. Lineage: Eukaryota; Viridiplantae; Streptophyta; Magnoliopsida; Lamiales; Oleaceae.
CUUGCCUAGUGGACUCUAUUCACAUAUAUAUUCAUCAAGGUAGGAGUGCAAAGCAAAACUAUCAGUGUUAAAUUUGAUGUGAAGAAUUUUGAUUGGAAAGAAUUUUGUGCUGUGGCAAGUGCAAGUCGAGAAUCUGUUGAUACAACACUAAUCGAAGUGUUGCCUCGAAAAAUAUCUAUUUGUAGUACAUACACCCUUGCUCUGGAAUUAGUCAAGUGAUGUACAAUUAGUAAAAAAAUUUACGCGUGUUUGUGGUUUUGGUUUUGUUAAGCCACAAUCAUUAUGGAAGGCUUGUGUUUUUUUCAUUAUUUUUUGAUAUUGAUCUCUGGUUUAUGCAUUACUAACGUUAAAUCUUUUAUUAUCUUGGAGGCAUCUUGUUUCAGCGUUCUAUGCUGUAGAUCCUAAUGGGGGUCAGAAAAUUGUUGCAGAACCAUAGUGAUGUCCUGCCAGCCAUAUCUGCUGGAGAUCAGCUCAGAUACAUAUGGAGGAUCUCCAUAUAGUAUCUAUUUCCCCUGUUAGUCCACUCAAGAUUGAUGAACAGAAGGCACAUGGAGGGCCUAUUGUGGGUAGCAAUUGUUUGUUUAAAUCAGUUAACACUAGUAGCUUUCCAAGAUCUCAUUUUCUACGGCAAUCUUGCAAAAGUGGCUUUACAAACAAAACAAACAAGUGGAGAUUGCGUUCUAAUUCUUCAUCUCAAAAUCCAUUCAACAGUGGUGCAUCAGAUGGGUCUGCUGAGGUAUGCAAGGGAGAUAAAGCUGCUGAAAGAAAUUCAAAUAAGAAAACUAGAAAGAGGGGAAAGAGGGGAAAGCGGAAUAAAAAUCUCCUGGGCAGUAAAGGCUUAACUGAGUAUGGAUAUGUAUGUGGAAAAUUGACGUCAGUCAGUGAAAAUACGCAUAGUUUUGGUCCGCCUGUAUAUAAAACUGAAUUGGCAGUUUCUCCACCAGAACCUUGUUGUAAUAGUAACAGUCAUCAGCCCAAAAAUAUUGAAAUAAUAAAUGGUCCAGCAAAAACAAAGGCAUUGACAUCCUAUGAAAAUCUGGUGGAGACAUCAAAAGCUUCAAACCUGUCUUCAUCUCAAAAUUUUAGUCAUGAAUCUCAUGCCUCUCAUUGCAAUGGACUCAAAAUUUUCAGUGGAGGGAGACAAUGUAUGCAUAAUAAAUCAAUCAGCUCCUUAGAUCAUCCUUGUUAUGCCAAGAUGAAUGACUCCCUUGUUUUGGAUUUCUUGUCACUUGGUUUAGAGAGUGAAGAAAGUUGUCCUGAAAAUUAUUUCAGGCUCUGCGAUGAAAAGAAUGAUGAUGCUGACAUUACAGAAUUGCCUCAUUACAUUAUCAGGAAACAGAUUUCUCCUGAAGAUAUGCUAAUUGGUAAUACUGAACAUUGUGAUGAUGCAGAGAACAUAGACAUAAUUAGGAAGGACUCUAAUUGUGAAAGAAAUUUGCAUAAUCCAGGAAUGAGAGAGAAGCAUUUAAGAAAAGUUCCAAAGAACUUUAAUAUCUUCAGAAGAUGCAGUUUCAGAAAUUUAAAACAGCAUUCUGGGAAAGAAAGCAGUAAUUCUGUAUGGCAGAAGGUUCAGAGAAAUGAAGGUGAAUGCAGACCUAAGUUUGAAAAGGUAGACUCAGUGUGUUCAGAAUUUUUUGAUGAGACAGAAGAGGGUCCUGUAUAUAAAAAGGAUAGUAAUGUUGCUGAAUGUUACAUGCUCUUGAAACCUGAAAAUAAAAAUCAGACACAGCUCAAGACUUCUGGAAAGCUGAAAAGAAAAAUGAGCCCAGGUUCAAAGAAAGAGUACAUCUCUCACUGUUGGAAAUCAUCCCAUGCUGUAAAGAUUUCUUCAAAUUUUUAUUCAAAGACUAAUAUGCGACAGAAUGAAUUCUUGGAAUCUGCUCAAAUAAGCCAGAGAAAAGGUAAUGGUGUUUCCAAUGCACAUUCGAGUAACUGGUGUCCUAGGAUUGGACAUCGUCCUGCGAAAGUUGAUAUCGGUACAUUUAAACAUAUUCACCAUACUGAAAUGUCGUCAACUAAUUUGGAGGCAUGUGACCGAGUCUAUAUUGCUGUUUCUGAUUUGACAGAUCAACCUGCAGAAAAUCAAGUGAACUUGCUAUUCAAUUCAUGUGUCCCCCUUGGCCCGUCAGAGUUGCACAAGCAACUUUCUGGACUAAGCCUUCAUAUUCAUGUGGAUGAUGAAAAUGACAAGAGAGAGAAAGAAGUCCCUCUUGCAGUUGGUGGCAGCCAGGAUGACGACUCUGCAGCUGUUUUAGAGGAAAGGAAAUCUAUUGGGGUUGGAGAUGCUGACGUUCAAGGUGUAAGUUGCAAUAGUUUGUCUAUUGGAGAGCUUCGUGAGUUAGCUGAUAAAAGCUUGAGUCCUGAAGUCAUUGCAGAAGAGAGAUUGGCUUCUAAUCCUUACCCUCUGGUUUUUUCAGAAAAUAUUGGAGUAACAUACAAUGAUCAGAGUUCUAACAACAUUAAUGAUUUACCUUUUGGAGAUGAACAUCAGGUUCAGAAGUCAAUGUAUAAAAGCACAUGCUUGCCUGCAGAGCGCAGUGGCAAUCAUGCUGGUGCAACAUGCUGGAUUCCUGAAAUCAGAAGCCAAAUUGUUUUUGAUUCUGAAAAUCAAUCAAACGACAUUGUUUCGUUAGUGAAUGGUGUCAUUGGUCACAACUAGCCUCUGAGGCUAUUGAGAUGGCUGCUGGUUGUCCGAUUCUGAAUUUGAAAGAUUUCUUCACUCGGCCUCUCCUAUUCUAUGUCCAUCUCAUGAUGUCUUCAGUGGUCAGACUUGCAAGGCCAAGCAGGUUGCUGGUAUAUCUGUGCAUAGGGAUGAGCCACUUAAUCUCUCUUUGGGGAGCUUGUGGCAGUGGUAUGAGAAGCCUGGUUGCUAUGGUCUGGAAGUAAUAGCUGAAGAUUGUGAAAAUUCAAAGAAAUUAGGAAUAGAUCAUUUUGAAUUUCAUGCCUAUUUUGUCCCAUCUUUAUCUGCUGUGCAGCUUUUCAGAAGAUGCAUGCCUUGUCCUACAGGAAAGAGCGACGUGAUGACUGAAACUGUGACAGGCAAGCCACAAGAGAUGAAUGAAACUGUAAGAUUUGCUGGUGCCACGCUUAUUCCAAUAUAUUCCAUACUUGUACCUCAACAUCACACUGAAAACAAACCCAUUUUGCCACCACAAAAUCAUGUCUCUGACUCUCAGCCACCUUCAUCGUGCAAAAAGGAAAAUGAGAUUAAUCGACCUGUCGGAUCAAAUUUUGCUGAUGAUAUAGAGCUUCUUUUUGAAUAUUUUGAAUGUGAACAACCUCAACAAAGACGUCCACUGUUCGAAAUGUAUGUAUAAUACCAUUCUUAGUAUGUAUGGUUGUGCAUAUUAUUUUUUAUGUUUGACAUGGGAGAUCCUGGCCCAUUUUUCUGAUCAUAUUUCCUUUGAUUUUGAUCAUUCUGUUCUGAAAAUUUUCAUCAUAAUUCUGUCAUAUAUGUCUAUUUUGACUUACACUUCUACUAUACACACUCAAACCUGAAUUAUAUGACCCUUCUGGAAUGGGUCGUAGCCCUCGUACCAUUGUGUGAUUCGCAUCAAACGAAUCCUCUUUUAGGUUGGGUAGAGUCCACAAGGUAGAUUUUGUUUUACAUGAUAUCGGUCUUCUUAGAAAAUUCCAUGGUGCUGCCUCUCCUUGUGAGCUCAUUUCUGCACCACAGCGACCUCCUCUAGGCCAGCUGCCACCAUGCCAUCCCCUUUUUUCACAAUGGAGAGAAGUAUCAAACUACAAAAUAUGUGAUAAUUGGCAUGGCAGAAGGCUUGGAUGCAUUUGAUGCCAGUGGCAUGAAAAAGAUCAGUGGUGGUCAAUGAAGUAGGAUUGAUGUGCCUCCUCCUUCACCUACCUCUGUCAACCUUUCUCUUUGGAGUAACUGUAUUGACAUUUAAAUCAGUAGUUGUGCUUGCUAAAGCAAUAAGUGAAAGUGGUGAUUCUUCCCCAACUUCUCAAAGUAGAUGUAAGAGGCAAGAAUAGUUGUGUGAUCCACGUGUUGCAAUGAGUUGACUUGCAGUCAGUAUAUUUUUUUAUUGAAGUGUGUAGAAAGACAAGGUUGAGAUAAACAAAUAUAGGUUUGACAGUAGGCACACAAUGGUGGGGGAAGGGUUGAAGUUUCCUUCAUGUGUUUGAAAACUUUGUGGGAUAUGGAUGGAGUUCAAGCAUAAGCCUCGGGAUUGUAAUGUAAUCUAAAAAUCAAUCCAUUAACUAAAUAUAAAUUUAUUUUUACCUUACCUCUUCUUUAUAUUUGUCAUUUAAUCUUACGGCAGACUUUAUAUUGUACUGACAUACGUUUUUUUAUUUGUAUCUAAAUGACCAAAAUCUACACAAAUACUUUGAUAUGGCUGGCAUUCACUGAUUUCACUAGUAGAGAACUGCAUAAGCACAGAGUUGCAUUUCCUUGACAGAGCUAUUUAAUUAAAUGCCUUGUAUAUACGUGUUAUGUUUGCAUUUGUAUAUCAGAAAAUGAGGCAGGAUGAACAGUUCACGAGCAUUUUUGAAGUCUUUGGAAAUCUGUGUGGCUUAAACAGAUAAAUACUUCUACAUAAUUCAUUGAUCUAAGGUCAACAUACAUAAAACUGGUUUCACAAACAAUCUGUGGAUUUAAAUUAUUUUCUGAUUCUUGUGUUUCAGGAUAAAGGAGCUUGUUAGAGGUGAAGGACAUUCAAAAUGCAGAGCACGUGGAGAUCCCACUGUUCUAGAGCAGGUGGGUCUACAGGAUCUUCACCAAAGUUCAUGGUCAGUAAAUGUAGAGACUAAUCCAGAAUAAUAAGUUAUGCAACCUUGUAAAGUUAGUUUGAUAUGAACAUGUAUUGUUGUUGAGCAUUGACAGUCUAUUUUCAGGUAUUCAGUUGCAUGGUAUCCCAUUUAUAGAAUACCUGAUGGCUCUCUUCGUGCAGCUUUCUUGACUUACCAUUCACUUGGCCAUUUGGUACGCAAAGACCCCAUACAUGAUUCGUCGGUGGAUACUUGUAUAGUUUCUCUGGUUGUGGGCCUCCAGAGCUACAAUGCUCAGGUAGAUAUAUUCUGCUACAAAUUCUUCUUCAAGUUCCCAAAGACCUGUGUCAUGCAUCCUCUGCUAGAGGAGCUCUUAACUGCUCUGUGUUAUUGCUUAGGAUCUAUUCCGCGUGUCUUUAUACAACUAGUACUGUAAAAUGCAAGUGUUGAGCCCUGAUUUUCCAUAGGGCAGUGAGGAUUAAUCAACUGAAAAUGUAAUGUUAGUUUGGAGGUCUCCUUGAACUUCCAUAAAAUCUAUUUAAUGUGGAAAAUAAAUAUUACUUCAAAAUUUAAGAGAGACCGCAUGAGUUCUAUAAUAUUAUUGCUGAAUGAUUAAACAAAAUGAGUAUUGUCAUUAUGCAACUAACAACUAUACAAUUAGAUGGAUGAAAUAAUAUUUGAGAUAACUCUAGGUUGUUGUGACCCCAGAAAGAUUAAGGCAACAAAUAACCUAAUUCUAGAUUGCCUCUGCAAAAAGAUUGUGGCCAACAAGAAACCCAAUUCUAGCAGUUAGCUUCACUAGAAGAUCAAGACAUUCUUGCCCAUGAAUGGCAUUGACAGAAUUUUACUUUGGUGGAAUACGAUCAAAACCAAAAAGAAUAUCAUGAAUGAUGCAAAAGUAUAGUUAUUUUUUCAAUAAUUACAUCCAUCUAUCCUGUGACUGCAUCAAAUUGUAAUGUUAAAUGACCACAAACGAAUGUAACAUUAAUUUGUUUAUGAUAAUCUGUUGCAAAUUUGAACAAUUAUGGCAAAAGAGGAAAAUUAAUUGUCCAAAUUUAUUGGGAUUAAGACUUAGUUUUUCUGUGUGUGGCAAAAACAAGAAAGAUGUAGCCUCUCUUCCUCUCGAUUAGUUAGAAACUUCCUGGAAUUGGAGUCUUUUAUUGCAUGGGAGAAACACUCUUUUACUGCAAUUACAGCAUUGCUGCAUUUUUACUGCACUUGACCAUUCUCUUUUACGUUCAAAAUGAACACUGAACCUGGUUUAUUAAUAUGUACCUAAUAAAGGCACACUUCUAUAAGUAUUGAACUUGAUAAUUUUCUCUGUUCUAUCUAUGGAACUGAAGUACUAUCCAUGAACUUCAUCAUUAAUCUUUGAAUAUAUUUUGCUUCCAAUCCAGUCUCUCUUGUAAUUGUAUAUCAAUGGCAAAUGAGCAGGGUGAAUGCUGGUUCCGGCCUAGACUCCCUGAAAAAAUUCUGACAGCCAACACUCCGGGAAUUUUGAAAGAGCGAUUGAGGACUCUCGAGCAGACGGCAUCUCAUAUGGCUCGUGCUGUCAUUAUGAGAGGAAGUCAGGCAUUUGUAAACAGACAGCCUGAUUACGAGUUCUUUCUGUCUAGGAGAAUCUAGUAAUUUCGUGUAUGUACUUAUUUUUUAUUUCUCAUGUAGAACUAGCUAGUGCUAAGGCUUAUUUAGUGUUGUAUAACAAUUGGUAAACUGAGGUUUUAUCCCUGCAGCAUACUUCCGUGUUUGCAGAUAAGCUUUGUAGAUUAUUUCAAAGUCAAUAUGCACUUAUAUUGCGAGUUUUGAAGGAUGCAAUGUGAGGAGGAAAUCGUGUGAGC